This 253-nucleotide ribosomal RNA is filed under the name uncultured bacterium. RNAcentral describes it as "partial 16S ribosomal RNA". It matches the Rfam family "Bacterial small subunit ribosomal RNA", at positions 524 to 776 of the family's 1533-position model. The record is from RNAcentral.
UACGGAGGGUGCAAGCGUUGUUCGGAAUUAUUGGGCGUAAAGCGCGUGUAGGCGGUCAUUUAAGUCUGAUGUGAAAGCCCUGGGCUCAACCCGGGAAGUGCAUUGGAAACUGGAUGACUUGAAUACGGGAGAGGGAAGUGGAAUUUCGAGUGUAGGGGUGAAAUCCGUAGAUAUUCGAAGGAACACCGGUGGCGAAGGCGGCUUCCUGGACCGAUAUUGACGCUGAGACGCGAAAGCGUGGGGAGCAAACAGG